RNAcentral lists this ribosomal RNA (254 nucleotides) under uncultured bacterium. RNAcentral's name for it is "partial 16S ribosomal RNA". It matches the Rfam family "Bacterial small subunit ribosomal RNA", at positions 524 to 776 of the family's 1533-position model. The record is from RNAcentral.
UACGGGGGGAGCAAGCGUUGUUCGGAUUUACUGGGCGUAAAGGGCGCGUAGGCGGCCACUGCAAGUCGGUUGUGAAAUCUCCGGGCUUAACCCGGAAAGGUCAACUGAUACUGUGCGACUAGAGUGCGGAAGGGGCAACUGGAAUUCUCGGUGUAGCGGUGAAAUGCGUAGAUAUCGAGAGGAACACCUGCGGCGAAGGCGGGUUGCUGGGCCGACACUGACGCUGAUGCGCGAAAGCGUGGGGAGCAAACGGG